AAGGGUCCAAGGGGCAAGAAAGACAAGGGAAAUAGUGGGAGUAGUGAUGUGAUAAGAUUGAGUAUUGGAGAUUUUUUUCAAUACUCAAGGCAAAGGGUUAAGGUACUUCACUUGCUAUAGUAACUGAGACAUAUCAGCUCAUUUUCUACUCAGUUGUGAGUAGUGGAUAACGAGAGAAACUGAUAAUGAUUGUUACACCUUG
Molecule: long non-coding RNA, 202 nt
Filed under: Salvia miltiorrhiza (redroot sage)
Lineage: Eukaryota; Viridiplantae; Streptophyta; Magnoliopsida; Lamiales; Lamiaceae
Description: long non-coding RNA (SMIL_LNC011841)
Source: RNAcentral